RNAcentral lists this transfer RNA (63 nucleotides) under Nereis sp. Its description in RNAcentral is "tRNA-Asp". The record is from RNAcentral. Lineage: Eukaryota; Metazoa; Annelida; Polychaeta; Phyllodocida; Nereididae.
AGAACCCUAGUUAAAUUAUAACAUAUGCUUGUCAAGCAUAAAUUACUUGUUAAGUGAGUCCUA